RNAcentral lists this ribosomal RNA (771 nucleotides) under bacterium. Its description in RNAcentral is "bacterial SSU rRNA". It matches the Rfam family "Bacterial small subunit ribosomal RNA", at positions 65 to 845 of the family's 1533-position model. The record is from RNAcentral.
AACGAUGAUGCCCAGCUUGCUGGGUGGAUUAGUGGCGAACGGGUGAGUAAUACGUGAGUAACCUGCCCUUGACUCUGGGAUAAGCCUGGGAAACUGGGUCUAAUACUGGAUACUACCUCUCAUCGCAUGGUGGGGGGUGGAAAGGGUUUUACUGGUUUUGGAUGGGCUCACGGCCUAUCAGCUUGUUGGUGGGGUAAUGGCUCACCAAGGCGACGACGGGUAGCCGGCCUGAGAGGGUGACCGGCCACACUGGGACUGAGACACGGCCCAGACUCCUACGGGAGGCAGCAGUGGGGAAUAUUGCACAAUGGGCGAAAGCCUGAUGCAGCGACGCCGCGUGAGGGAUGACGGCCUUCGGGUUGUAAACCUCUUUCAGUAGGGAAGAAGCGCAAGUGACGGUACCUGCAGAAGAAGCGCCGGCUAACUACGUGCCAGCAGCCGCGGUAAUACGUAGGGCGCAAGCGUUGUCCGGAAUUAUUGGGCGUAAAGAGCUCGUAGGCGGUUUGUCGCGUCUGCUGUGAAAGCCCGGGGCUCAACCCCGGGUCUGCAGUGGGUACGGGCAGACUAGAGUGCAGUAGGGGAGACUGGAAUUCCUGGUGUAGCGGUGAAAUGCGCAGAUAUCAGGAGGAACACCGAUGGCGAAGGCAGGUCUCUGGGCUGUUACUGACGCUGAGGAGCGAAAGCAUGGGGAGCGAACAGGAUUAGAUACCCUGGUAGUCCAUGCCGUAAACGUUGGGCACUAGGUGUGGGGGACAUUCCACGUUUUCCGCG